UACGAAGGGGGCUAGCGUUGUUCGGAUUUACUGGUCGUAAAGCGCGUGUAGGCGGGGCGUUAAGUUGGGGGUGAAAUCCCGGAGCUCAACACCGGAACUGCCUUCAAAACUGGCGACCUGGACUCAAGCAGAGGCAAGUGGAAUUGCGAGUGUAGAGGUGAAAUUCGUAGAUAUUCGCAGGAACACCAGUGGCGAAGGCGACUUGCUGGGCUUGUAGUGACGCUGAGACGCGAAAGCGUGGGGAGCAAACAGG
Molecule: ribosomal RNA, 253 nt
Filed under: uncultured bacterium
Lineage: Bacteria
Description: partial 16S ribosomal RNA
Rfam family: Bacterial small subunit ribosomal RNA
Source: RNAcentral